CAAUAGCGUAUAUUAAAGUUGUUGCAGUUAAAAAGCUCGUAGUUGGAUUUCUGGCAGGAGCGACCGGUCACACACUCUGUGUGUGAACUUGUGUUGUCUCUGGCCGUCCUUGGGGAGAUCCUGUUUGGCAUUAAGUUGUCGGGCAGGGGACAUCCAUCGUUUACUGUGAAAAAAUUAGAGUGUUUAAAGCAGGCUUAUGCCGUUGACUAUAUUAGCAUGGAAUAAUAAGAUAGGACUUCGGAACUAUUUUGUUGGUUUGCGUUACGAAGUAAUGAUUAAUAGGGACAGUUGGGGGUAUUCGUAUUUCGUUGUCAGAGGUGAAAUUCUUGGAUUUCCGAAAGACGAACUACUGCGAAAGCAUUUACCAAGGAUGUUUUCAUUNA
RNAcentral lists this ribosomal RNA (383 nucleotides) under uncultured eukaryote. Its description in RNAcentral is "partial 18S ribosomal RNA". It matches the Rfam family "Eukaryotic small subunit ribosomal RNA", at positions 592 to 976 of the family's 1831-position model. The record is from RNAcentral.